RNAcentral lists this ribosomal RNA (253 nucleotides) under uncultured bacterium. RNAcentral describes it as "partial 16S ribosomal RNA". It matches the Rfam family "Bacterial small subunit ribosomal RNA", at positions 524 to 776 of the family's 1533-position model. The record is from RNAcentral.
GACAGAGGGUGCAAACGUUGUUCGGAAUUACUGGGCGUAAAGCGCGCGUAGGCAGCAGCGUGUGUCGGGCGUGAAAUCCCACGGCUCAACCGUGGAAGUGCACUCGAAACUGCGCAGCUAGAGUCUCGGAGAGGAAGGCGGAAUGCUUGGUGUAGAGGUGAAAUUCGUAGAUAUUGGGAAGAACACCAGUGGCGAAGGCGGCUAACUGGUCCAGAUCUGACGCUGAGGUGCGAAAGCGUGGGGAGCAAACAGG